This 5261-nucleotide long non-coding RNA is filed under the name Olea europaea subsp. europaea. Lineage: Eukaryota; Viridiplantae; Streptophyta; Magnoliopsida; Lamiales; Oleaceae. The record is from RNAcentral.
AUUUUUCCAUUUUAUCCUUCAACAACGGUCUAUUUCUUAUACCUUCUUCACCUCUUCUCUUUUUGCCUCACAUUCGUUCCUCGCUUUUCAAACUACAGAAGAACCCCAAAAUCUACCGACAACCAUAAAAAAUUCCCCACAAAUCUCAUUUAUCUCAGCCCCAAAUUCAUUCUUCCUCUCUCGAACUAUACGAGAACUUCAAAAUCAAAAGAAAAUCCUAAAAAAAUCCCCAUAGAUCUCGUUUACAUCUAAGAAAUUGGAAUCCUCAGAAGACCCUUUUCUUCUUCUUUUGUAUUGUUGUCGACGAAGUGUUGUGGAGGGAAGCUAUUCUUCUUUCUUCAUCGUUGUUUGAUUGCAAGCUCACUCCACAGACAAUUACCCGCAGAAAAAGUUUAAUUUUGUCAAAAUUAUCUGGUUCAUGUCCUUUAUUUUGUACUUUCUACUUACUUGGGCAUUUUUCUUGUUCAAGCGCUAUAGCUCCUAAAAAUCUUAUUCACACAAAAUUGAUAUUCUUAAGAGUUGACAGAUGAUGUGGCCGAGUUUAAAAGAAAAGCAUGACUCACGAUUCUCACAUGGGCCUCUCCAUUGCAUCUCCAGUAAGUGAUUUUAUUUUUCUUGAAUAUAAAUUUUUUAUUUUAUUUUACUGGUGGUAUGGAUCCAAUAUUUGGUAUUCUGAUUGGACAUAGGAUAUAGUUGAACCCAGUUAUGUGAAUUUUCUGGAGUACUACGAAAUUUGGAGAGUAGAAUGAGGUGUGUAUUAGGCUCACCGGGAGAUGUUGAACAUUAUCCUUUGGUGUAAUUGUUAUAUUGGUUUUGUACGUUCUACCAUGAUACCACUAUAAUUGGAGGAUUUGUAAUAGUAUUUGACUUAUAAAUUGAAAGGGGAAGCAAUGUAACAGUUUUUUAAAAGUAGAUACAUGCACUCGGGUUCUGGGGAGGAUGAUUGUUACGGCAACUCUGCUUCUUGUAUUAUUAUAUGCCCUUCCAUGUUAUAUUUUCAGUGAUUUUACUAUUUCGUAGAGUUAGAGACCAAUCCGUGCAACCGGAAAAGUUGUGGUAUUAAAUUCAAUCAGUACAAAAAUUAUCUUAUUUGAAAUUUUAUUGAAGAGAAGAAUAAAAAAAUCCUUUAGUUGGUUGAAGUUCACAACAUGGUGCACGAUGAAAGAAAUCUUUUGUUGGGAGAUAUUUGGAGGUUUCAUAUGCUUGUCUUUUAAACUUAUAAGUGGGAAUUAACUCUAAUAAAAGUCUUCUAUGGCGAGGUUAAGUAGCAAUGUUGUUAGAUUGUCAAAGUAUACAUUGCUUUCUGCUCUUUUUUACCCCUUUUGCUGCAUAGAAUCCCAUACUUAUUUCUCUUGAUAGUUUAUUAAGGGGAAUAUGAUACAUGCUUGUUCUUUUGAAUCCCAAGCCAACUUGUUUGUAAUUGUUCCAUUUGUGUUGUCGAUCCCAUCGUGUCCUGGUAUUGGUUUCUAAAUGAAUUUUAUAUCUUUUAUUCACCACUGUUUUUGUGGGUAGUGCUUGUAGAUUGCUUGAAGCCAAAAUGUAUCAUUUGUGUAUGCAUUGUGCCAUAGAUGUGCCAGCCUGAAAGAAACACAUUUAUUGUGUUCAGAACUACUUUAAAAUGUUCCAGUCCGUUGUGUUUAACAUUUGGUCAAGCUUUAAUAAAACAAUGCAUAUGUUGUAAAAUGAAUAUAACAAAAGAUUUUAUUCUUUUCAAGAAACACAAUAUUGAGCAAAUUUUAAGUUUUUAUUCCUCAGUAUUUUAUCAAUGUAUACUUGUUUUGAAAGAGUUUGUAGCGUCUCAAUCUUUUGGCCCGCUGCAGCUUGUGGUUCAAUGGUAAUUUUCAUGCAUAUGUGUGCUCAUUCUUGUCGAUAUUUUCAAGUGAUUUAUUUUGAAAUUGUGUAUUAUUUCGACCAACUACCUUGUUUGUAUUUGUCAGGUCCUGUCCUUAACGUGCUUGAAUUAUUCUGAAAAUAUCAUGUAGGGUAUUUCCUGAGUGAUUUAUUAAGUGAGAAUAUUUUCUAUUUCAGGUGGAGACCAUAAAUUUUACACUAGAGGAAUUUCUGGACAAGAAUGAAAUAAUUCAGGAAUGCAGAUCUCUUAAUGAAUGUCUUAUUAAAUUGUAAGCUUCUGGUUCUCUCAUCAUGCUAAAAUUUUAUAAUAAUUGCUUUUGAUUCUUUUGUAUUCCAUUUUAUAUAUAGUUCUAGACUAUUACCAUAUCGUCCCUUUUAAUAAAUUUCCCUAGCAGAAUUUGGUCAUGAGAACAAUUUUUAGCUCAUAGUUGCAGUAAUUAUUUGUCAAGCUUUCAACCAAGAGAGCAAGUCUUGCAAAAAAAUAUAAUGGACAAGAAAUUCGAAAGUUCAAGAAAUUGAUGAUACAGUAAUGGGAUUUAGGCUUCUGAGGUUGCACGAGUAUAAGGUUUCUGCAGGUAGAGUUUUUGACUUCUAGAAAUCAUGACGGCGAAAUAAUGUAGAUGACAAAAGUACAAUUCACCAAUGUUUGUUGGGAUUGUAUCAAUUCUUUUGGAUUAAAAUGGCAGAAGUAAUGUUAUAAUUUCAUGGAAACCUUAUCUAUUAGGAUGCUGGCAUGUGCUAUUUAGGGAAAGAAUGUAUCUGGUUGUUGUUUUGCAGGUGAAGUGUCUAGCAUAUGCAAAAAUGUGUUCUUCAACUGUCUCUAAACUAUCUUUGUUGCAUAUAAUUCUGAAAUAUAGGAUGACAAUUUUCUAGGAUCUAGGAAUCUUUGUCACGAGGCAAAUAUGUGAAGUGGCCUAUUACAUAAUUAGUUUAAAAUGCAUUUAAAAAAAGUAAUGAUAUAUAUGAGUAAAUAGGCCAAAAAUGGACAAGUUUACGUCUUUUUGAUAUGGAAUUAUUUUAUGAAUUUCUUCGUCCUAUUUAAUACCCUGUAAAUCAUGGCAUUUAAUUAAAAUUUUACGAGUUAAUAAAUCUUUUUAUUGAAAUUAAUGUGAACUUACGAUGUUCACCUUUGACAUACUUUAUAUGUUAACUAAUAUGUUUCCUCAAUUUCAAGGAUUGGUGCUUGCAACCCUCCUUGUCAUUAUUCCUUGUGUUGUGCAUCAAAGCAAUGUCACUUAUGACUCUUGAAUGGUAAAUGAGUUUUGCUAUUGUUUUUUUUCUGCCAAAAUGUUGCCUGGUGCAAGAAUUUAGGUCUUGAGGGCAUGUGGGUAUGGUUUUUGAAAGAUAACAUGACUAUGUGGCAAAUGAUAUUUUAAGUAAUGGUACUACUUCAUUGCCAAGCGGAUAAUAUGUUUGACGCUCUAAGGUUAUGAUGAAUGUGGUAUGUGUUGUUUUUCUUCUCAUGGGAUUAAACUUUUGACCAGCCAUGCAUCUCAUUUGGAAAUAAGGUGUGCGGGCCAUGUAAAUGUUUUCUAGGAUGAUGUGCAGUUUUGUUUGAGUACUCUGAUAGAACUAGCAGUAAAUCUAACAGUUGAUAAAAUCUUUGUAAGUUGAAGAACAAUUUAAUGAUGAUGAGGGAUGAGGAGUAAAAUGGCCUCAAAAGAAAAGAUAUUGGCAGCUGAUUAUAUGUGAUUGGAGUUGGAUUCUCUGCUCAUUGAAAUUCAGGUUUGUUGUAAAAUUUUAUAUUGAUGGAGUUUUGAUUGAUUUUUUUUAUAACUUUUCCCGUCUUUGUGAUACAUCCUUCAUUAGAUGCUUUCAAUACUCGACUCCUCAUUUUUCUUACUGUUCAAAUGUUGACCUUAAGAGGUUUUCAUUGGACACAUCAUGUUGGUCUUUAUUUUUGCUCAACAAACAACAGCGUGAUCACAAUUCCAUGUCCAUGAAUUUCUUGAUACUAUUCUAUCUCUACAUAGUACAAUACAUUGAAGCAUAGUGAAUUUAGUGUUUUUGCGUUGGGCUUUGAAAAUGUCACAAAAGAGGUAGCAGCAAGAGGAGCCAAGCCUCGAUUUGAAGGCACUCCCUUUGAGGACAAACGGCAUCAAAGAGCGCCUUCUCUAAGGUAGAGCAAGUUUUUGUUCCUUUUUAUAAAAGAAAUUACUUUGUUGGGAUAUUAAAUUUUAUGUGGAUUUAUGAUGAGAUUUGGUAUUUAAUAAUUUUGUUGAAUACCCAUUUUUAGUUGGUGUAAAUUUGAAGUGGGGUCUCUCAAUUUUGAAUUUUGAUAUUGGUUUUUCCUUUUAAAUUAAUGAAGAAGUGGAAAAUACUACUAAAAAAUGAAGAAUGGAUGUACUUUUGGGGGUUGAGAGUGCUUUACACUCAUUAUAUUUAUGCCACUUAAUUCAUUAUUUUGUUACUCUUGAGAAUGUUUUAAAGCGUUUUAAUGUGUAUUUUGAUAUUGUAUAGGUUGAUUAAAUUGAAAGAAAUAGACAAAAGUUGGUGAAGUUGGAUGAGAGGACCAAAUUAUAAGAGUGUUCGAGGGCUAAAAUCCAAUUAAUCAAAAGUUGUGUCUAACCUCGUGAUGAAGAUCCAAUAGUAUUGGGAGUCAAUUGGAUGUUCACAGUCAAUUUCCAACGGACAAGUUAUGCUUCGAAGUUUUAGCCACACAUUGAAACCCCUUUUUAACAUAGCAAACAAUCGAAUUGGAGAAUGAUGCUUGAAUCAAAGUUGUAGCCCUUUGAAUUAGCUUUUUAACGUAUCUUGAAUCAUCUCAAUCAAACAUUGGACAAGAAAGUUGUGCUAAAAAUACUGAAAGACGCGUAGAAUCUCAUUUCAGUCGAACCGGGCACCACGGCGCACAUAUUGGGGGCUGCAGCGCCCAGGUUGUUGAAAUUAUGCAGAAAUCAUGGCGCCACGGCACCCAAAUUGGACGUCGAGGCGCUACCUUGCGAGGGAAGAAUUUUACAAUCUUUGGACUCUAUUCAGGAUCCAAUCCAACCCUAUCUUUCCAAGAUUUGAAGAGCAUAUAAAUAUCAUUUCUUCAAGGGGGAACCAGCCGGCGAAAACAUAGAAAUCUGGAAUUGGAAGAAAGCUUCGGCCACCAGGAGAUUGAGAAGAGAUUUAGCAAGCAAGGACAACAAUUUGAAGAAGGAUGCUGGACACAAUUGGGCACGGCUGGAGAAUACAUAAAAAAGUAAAUUAAUAGAGGGAAAUUGGCAAACUUUGGGAGAAGAAAUCGAGCGGCAACAAAACGAGUGUUCGUAAUCCUUCUUCUUCUCUAUGUUCUUUCUUUAUAAUUUAUUCGUGUCGAUUCUCUCAAUUAUGAACUAGACUUUAAUCCUAGGAAUUUGAUGUAGCCUACUUAGACAUUUUUUAAUUCCAAUAUAAUUAUUUCAUUUGAUCUUUCUGUUUAUUUA